GAGUUUGAUCCUGGCUCAGGACGAACGCUGGCGGCGUGCCUAACACAUGCAAGUCGAACGGAGAUACGCGCUGAAUGGAUGGAGCUUGCUUUUGAAAUUCUUGUGUAUCUUAGUGGCGGACGGGUGAGUAACGCGUGAGCAACCUGCCUUUCAGAGGGGGAUAACGUAUGGAAACGAACGCUAAUACCGCAUGAGACCACAGUACUGCAUAGUACAGUGGCCAAAGGAGCAAUCCGCUGAAAGAUGGGCUCGCGUCCGAUUAGAUAGUUGGCGGGGUAACGGCCCACCAAGUCGACGAUCGGUAGCCGGACUGAGAGGUUGAACGGCCACAUUGGGACUGAGACACGGCCCAGACUCCUACGGGAGGCAGCAGUGAGGGAUAUUGGUCAAUGGGGGAAACCCUGAACCAGCAACGCCGCGUGAGGGAAGACGGUUUUCGGAUUGUAAACCUCUGUCCUCUGUGAAGAUAAUGACGGUAGCAGA
Molecule: ribosomal RNA, 483 nt
Filed under: uncultured bacterium
Lineage: Bacteria
Description: bacterial SSU rRNA
Rfam family: Bacterial small subunit ribosomal RNA
Source: RNAcentral